RNAcentral lists this ribosomal RNA (484 nucleotides) under uncultured bacterium. RNAcentral describes it as "bacterial SSU rRNA". It matches the Rfam family "Bacterial small subunit ribosomal RNA", at positions 28 to 511 of the family's 1533-position model. The record is from RNAcentral.
GACGAACGCUGGCGGCGUGCCUAACACAUGCAAGUCAACUUGACGGAAGGAGCAAUCUGACCGUAGAGUGGCGCAAGGGUGCGUAACGCGUAAGUAACUUACCCCAAGGUAAGGAAUAACGUCGAGAAAUCGGCGCUAAUACCUCAUAAUGCAGCGGAUCCGCAUGGAUAUGUUGUUAAAGGUUUACCGCCUUGGGAUAGGCUUGCGUCUGAUUAGCUAGUUGGUGUGGUAACGGCACACCAAGGCUACGAUCAGUAACUGGUCAGAGAGGAUGAUCAGUCACACUGGAACUGAGACACGGUCCAGACUCCUACGGGAGGCAGCAGUGAGGAAUAUUGGGCAAUGCUCGAAAGAGUGACCCAGCAACGCCGCGUGGAGGAUGAAGGUAUUCUAUAUCGUAAACUCCUGUGAGAGCAGACGAAAGACAGAUUAUUAAUCUGGAUGACUGUAUGCUCAGAGGAAGCCCCGGCUAACUACGUGCCAG